This is an RNA transcript of Gossypium raimondii (Peruvian cotton), 5322 nucleotides long. It is a transcript of the gene named small acidic protein 1, with no coding region annotated. The transcript has 7 exons. The record is from RefSeq and is a predicted model, not a curated record. NCBI's taxonomy places the organism in Eukaryota, Viridiplantae, Streptophyta, Magnoliopsida, Malvales, Malvaceae.
GAAAUUCUGCAGAAGGCAUCAGGGGUUAUAAAAAAGUCUAUGCAAGGAGCUCAGGAAGUAGGGAAGUCUGCGACAAUAGAUAAUGGACUGGGGAUGCAUACUAUGUCAGAUAGUACACAAAGGAAAGGAAUCGCUGCAGUUCAAGGGUCUCAAACUAAGGUACCAACUUUUAGAACUUCUUUUUUCCUCUUUUAACCGUUGGUAUUUAAAAAAAAGUCAAGGAUGUUUAUAUGUUGAGGAUGAAAUGGUUUUGGAGUUUCACUGAUAUUCAUAAAUACAGUUAUUGUAACAAUUUCUCGUUUAUCUGGUAAACCUUGGUAAUUAUUUAAGCACAUGUUGCAUGGUUUUUUUUUUAAUCUUGUUUAAGGCGUAGCGUUUCUUGGUAGUGAUAGCCAUAUUCAUGGCCGACAGUAUAUUACAUGCUGAUGAAGUAAUUAGAAUCUGUUGAAAGACAUAGGUGGAAAGGAAUGAAUUGUUCGUUCAUUUUUCUUCAUAGACCAGUUUUUCAAUGUGGAAUGACAUAUAACUCUAGUUUAUUUUUCAAAGGAAAAGAUGAAUGUUGAGUUUAUUUAUGUCUUCAAGCCCAAAGUUUUUCAUAGACCAGUUUCUUCAUAGGGUUCAGUGUACUGUUUAUUAAUUUUUAAGAUGAAUUCAUUGCAUAAAUCUAUCCAUUGCAACUUACUUCUAUAACUACUAGAAUGUAUCAAGUUAUUUGUUUUCUCUUUCUUAUUUCUUUUUCUCUUAAAUAAAAUUAGGUUGACUGUGCCCUCAUUUGAUCUUCCAUAGAGAAAUACCAAAACUAGAAAGCAAGAUCUGAAGACUUCAUUAAACCUAUUCGUUGCUACCUUUAGAACUAAUAGAAUGUAUCAUGUUAAACCCAUAGACUCUGCAUUCUGCUGCCCUUGUCCACCAUGGAUAUUUGUUGACAGGUGACCUGUAAUGGAACCAUGAACUUUCUAUAAAGCAUUUUCAUAAUUGCUCGACUUUUUUGUGUCACUUGCAAUGCAAACUAAAGGUCUACAUUAUCAUCACUGAUGGUAAUGACAGUAUCUCAGAGUGGGAAAGACAUUUUUAAUGAAUCAAUAUGUUUAUAACAAAUUCAACCAACAGUACAAAGCUACAAUUGGAGCCGAAUUUGUCACCAAAGAAUUACAGAUUGAUAACAAAUUGUAACUUUGCAAAAAAUAACAGUCAUCAAAAUCAACCACAACCAAGAUGUCCAAGCAUUAGACAGAAACGAGAAUAAGAGCUGUGAAACUGGAAUUAUACGGAAAAAUGCUAAAAUUUGUUGUAUUGCUUUAUUAGGAUUUUUGCAUUGGCAACUGUUAUGAGCUCUGUACUAAUUUACAACCUGCCUGAGACGAUUCGUGAAGCUGACAUAUCUCGGCUGUCAUUUGCUGUUGAGCUUGCUGAAGAAUUUUAUGGAAGGUUUGUGCUUCUUCCAGUACUAAAUUGAAAGUAAUACCAAUUUAUUAUAUGCACUGAGCAAGCUUGGUGUAUUUUACUUUUUAGUUCCUGUUAAUAUAGACACUAACCUUUCUUGUGGUUUGCUUGACUAAUAUUACAUGGAGAACAGAGUGAAGGGGCAAGGCAUUGCUUUUGAACCUGCAAAACUUUUGUGGCUUAUCCAGUGUGAUUUUCUGCGUAAGUUCAUAAUUGUCUUCCAGCAUAUGUUUUAUGAAGUGUCAUAAGGGCCUGCUACUUUAACUAAUGAGAUUCUCCUGUUGCUUAAUGCUAUCUUCUGAACCUAAUGUUGCUAUACUCUAGAGAUGUCAUUUUGUGACCUUACAUAGUGGCCACUUUUCUUGCAACAUGAUUACUCGUAUAGCACUCCAAUCAUGUAUAAUGUCAUUUUAUUUUCAUUUUCAUUUUCGAUUAUCUUUGCAAAUAUUUUUUGUUUGAACGAAUCAUCUUCAGAAAAUGGAUUUUAAUGCGGCGGAGAAAGAGGAAUUUGGAUUCUCAAGAAACUAUUUCUUAGCAAAAGAAAUGGGCAGUUCUGGGAAGAAAUCUGCUCGUAAACUCAGUGAUAUCAAUGUCGUUGAUGAACAUGUAUUUUGCCUCAUUGAAUCCCCAUCUCAAAAAAAGCUUUUGUUUUUUUAUUCUUUUAAAUUUUGUUGUUUUAAAAUUGCAGGAACUUAGAGAAGCUUCAGCUAAUAUUGAACCAAAGCAUCAAAACGACAUUGCAGAUUUAAUAAAUAGUUACAAAAGUUUAUACCCAAAAUGGGUUUUUGAUCUCAGGAUGAUGAGGGGCAAACCUCACUAAGUGUGAGUCUAGGCAAAUCUCUGUCGCCUAAAUCACUAGGAAAUGUAAGCUUUUGUGGCGAAUCUCUUUAAGGACCAUCUAUGUUGUAAAACUCUGGAAAGGUAAGCCUUAAUAGCGAACCUCUUAAAAGGAAUGUCUUCAUGGCAAAUCUUUGAAAGGAAAGCCUAUGUGGCGAGUACUGAAUGAAAAUGACACGCUUUUGUGGCGAUCUUUGUUAAAGGGCAUGCUUUCAUAUCUAUCUUUGAAAAGGAAUGCCUUUGUGGUGUAAUCUAUGAACAAGAUGCCUUGUUGGCAACCCUGUAAAGGAAAGCCCUUAUGGCGAAUACAAAGGAAGCCUUUGUGGCUAUUUAAGUGAAGGGAUGCCUUCACCACAAAUUCUGAAUGAAUGGAGUAUAAGAAACUCUGAAAGAAUGGUAUAAAUAGUUCUCUGAAGGUAUAGUAAAGAUAGGACUCUGAAGAUAGGGUAAGUGUCAGGAACUCUUAAUAAAUAAUGUAUGGAUCAAGCAGAAGGAAUAAUGUAUCUAGUGAACUCUGAAAGAAAGGCUUCGUAUGUAAAUGAAAUGGCGAACCUUGUAUAAUAAUGAGAAAUGAACAAUGAAGCUAAAGCGUGCCAGAAAAUGUGGCGAAUUUGGGAUGAGUGCCAAAGGUAUGUGUAGAUGGUAUUCUGAAGUAAUGAAGGUAUUGACGAAGUUUAUGUUAAGUGUUACCUCGCCCAAAGGUAAUGAUAAAAUCAAUAAGUAUGAAAUAAGAUUUGUAAGUCUAUUAAUAAGGAAAACGAAGUGACUAAGGUCUAUGCAUAGAUAAGAUUCAAAAGGAAAUAGAAAGUCAUGGGUUUGUAAGUAUAGUACGCUCAAAAGAAUGAAAUGGUCACCUGAGUUUAGGCCUCACAUCUGGAGCCUAGUAAGGUGAAGACUUAAUGAAUAAGGAAGGUAAGUCCUUAAAGACACUGAGAGGAAGGCAAAGGUCUAAAAUAGGAAAGAAUAAUUGAUACGAGCUAAGGAGGUGACACUCAAGGGGUUGUUUUUCCUAGUGGUCCAAUCACUCGAAGCAAGGCACGACAAUUAAAAUCAAAGAUGAAUGCUUUUGUCCAAGACUUUGUUGCUACAAAUUUAAUUCAUCAUGUUCGUGACGUUGACAAAUACGGGAAUGCAAUUCACUGACCAAUCUUGGAAUAGUGAAAGCCUAUAAAUUGGUGGAUUAAUCUUUUAUGUAUAUUAUUAUUAUUUACUUAAUUCUCAUUGGUUGGGGCACAUCACUUAUGAGUUAAGUAAUUUUAUUGGUUAGGUUAUUAUUUAUUUAUUUUCUUAGAUAAUUUUAAAGAGUUUUAUUAGGGUUCAAUUACUCUUGUAUAAAGAGUUUUAUUCGGGUUCAAUUACUCUUGUAUUUUACCUAUAAAUAGGCUUGCUUUCUAUACAUUGGGGGACACAUAAAAAAAGGAGUAUUUGUUUUCUUCCAAAUUUGUGUGAGGUAAAUUUUUGAGAGUAGAGUGAUUCUUCUCUUGCUAUUAGUUUGGAGUUUGUUACUUUCGAGGGUAUUUCGGAGUUACAAAUAUUCAAAUUUCUUUCCCGUUCAUCGGUGUUUCUAGAGGUUCUUCUUCUAGGGGUUUCGUAGGGAGCCGCUCAAUCAUUGACGUUUUUGGGUACAAGUUAACCAAUGGUUUCAUAGGGCAAAUCUAUCCCUUUUUAUUAUUAUUAUUAUUUAACUAAUUUUAUUUAUUCUCGUUUUUAUUUCUAAUUUAUGUUUCUCUUGUGUUUAGAUCCGGGAUUUUCGCAUUAGUUGGUAUCAGUUUCAGGCCAUUCGGUGUUAUUUUUGAAGCUAAAAUCAUAUCCGAAACGAGUCAAAAUAUCAAAAACACUUUUAAUCGGUUUCGUCAAUUUUUUUAAAUUAGUUAAUAAAAAAAGCAAAAAGCGCAAAAAAAAAGUUGAGAAAAAUCGUAAAAAAAAAAGCAAACUACGCAAAAAAAAGGCAAACAGCGCAAAAAAAAGAAAAAAAAAGUUGCCUACCUCUCAUACGUAGGUUUCUUCUUUUCCUAUUAUUAUUAUUAUUAUUUUUAUUUUUUCCAAAAUUGAAUUUUUUUUCCUUCUUCUUUUCUUGACUCAAGUAUAAUUAAAGCUUCAAAUUUUUUUUUGAAAAUCUUAAGACACCGAACGUUUCUGAUUUUUGUUUUUUUGUUUUUAAAUUGGGUAGAGUUUUCUUAAGUUUUCUUCUUAUUAAAGAUUUUCUUUGACUCUAGAGUUAGGGAUCGUUGCAGGUCUACGUUUUUUGUUUCUCUUACGCUUUCUAACACUUUGUUUCUUCUUGUGUUAGCAGAUAUUAAAGGCACGCACAAUUCCUUCAUCCGUGUAACCUUCAUUACAAAUUGCCUCGUCAAGAUUAUUGGCCUCUUAAAGCAAUUAGGAUCUUCAUUGUUUCUUUGAAGUUUGCACCUCCGUUAUUUGAUCUUGAUUAGUAACCCUCUCCAAACAUAUUUACAAGUUUUGAAUCAUUUAGAGAGUUAUUCUUUUGAGAGCUAACGAGUGAAAUUAUUAUUUUUUCUUUCUUGUUCUUGUUUGUGUGAUUUUUUCACAGAUACCAUGCCGAUCACUAGAUCCCAAACUAGUAAAAAUGAAGAGGAUGAGCAAAAAAGAGAGAACGAUCCUUUGGUCGAGUUGUUACAAAAAGAGAUGAAAAAGUUGCAAACUCAAUUCGAACAUCGCAUGAUCCAGAUGUUACAAGAGCAAAGGGAGUAUCUUGAUACAAAACUUAAAACUCAAGAGAGAUAUAUUACCGAUAAUUACAAGAAGUUGAACGAAGCCUUUAUAAGCCGAUCAAAUUCGCGAGAUCGAACUUUUAAACGAAGGGAGGACCAUGUUUUUGAUGAUGACUUUGAGUCCGAGUAUGUACCUAGAGAAAGGUUGGAACGAAACAAUGACACCUCCAAACCGAAAUUUCCUUCUUUCUCAUGGAAGAAUGAUCCUGAUGCUUACCUUGAUUAGGAGGAAAAGAUGGAAGCAGUCUUUGCUUGUUACAAUUACUCUGAUGAGAAAAAGGUAACAUACUGUCAUUUGAGUUCAUUAAUU